GGCUCUCUCUUGGCAACGUUUUUUUUAAGUUUGGAGUCAAUUAAGAGGGAGGUGUGAAGUGUGCUGCCACCGACACUCAUACGGGUUUUCGUGGGCUUGGAACGUUUGUUUUUCUUUUUGGAUGAGGAAAUUAAACAGAUAUUGUUAGACUGGUGAUUGAGGAGCUGGAUGCUAAUCUCAAUUUGUUUUUUUACUCAUUGCCCCCUUUUCAUUUUUGGUUCAUGCACUUUUUGAUUGAAUGUUUCAAUCCAUCAAUGUCACGUGCAGCAAGGAGAAGCAGCCACUUGUUUUAGGCUUGGCUUUUGAACGUUUUUUUUAGGAGGGAGCUUGGAACGUGUUUCAGGUAGAAUAGUGUUUCAGGAAAGAAGAACACAUGUAUUAAUUGGAGAAUAGUGUCUCGGCCAGCGGUGCACAAUGUGCUUGUCACGGGUUGAUGAUGAUGGGAUGGGAGAAGUAUAUUUCAUUUUGGUACUGCAGGGAGAACGAAGGGGGAACACCUUUUAAUUUUAAUUUCAAUUUAGAAAAGGCACAUUGGUAGUGUGGUGUGUACGACCGAGAGUGGGAUUUGGAAGAAAAGAGAAUGGUUUUUGAUUUAAGCAAGGAGCUCAUUGAUUUGAUGGGAGUAGGGAGUGGGAGCACAAGGUGUCACGGCCUGGCUGGAGGAAAAGGGGGAUGAUUCAUUUUUCUAGAGAAUAGGAUGCAGUGGUUUAUGGAUAAAGGGGUGUGCACGGUGAUGGGACACGGUCAAGGCUAGAAAGUUUUAUUUUUUUUUUUUAGUUAAUCAUUGAAUGAAAACGGUGCAGAGGUGUGGGAUUUUUAUUUGGGAAAAGCAAUGCAGCGAGGGAGAAAAGAAAGAAGUGCUGUCACGGCAUGGAGAGGUGCACACGGUUUGUUCCAGAAGGUUUCCUGAUUUUCCUUCUUCUCCUUGCUUCAACUAAGAUACCCAGUUUUUUAUUCUACAUAUUAAGUUGCAUUCAGCAUUGUUUUUAUUUUAUUUCCGCUGCAUUGGGUUUCUAGUGUUAACGCAUUGUGUUUUAAUUUAAGUAGAUGAGUUUUCUUAUUUAUUUAUUGCAUUGCACUUAGUUCAUGCACUUUUACAUUGAAUGUUUUAUUUUAGUGUUUUCAUUUAAUUUAGUUGUAAUGUUAACUUUAGUGACCAAUCGUUUUAAUUAUGUAUUUACAUUUGUGUUUAUAUUCGUGUUUUAAUGUAGUUCAUUUGCAUUCACAAACCAUUCACAAACCCCCCCACUUCGUGUUUGAUCUGAUUCUCGAACCACAUUUGGUCCUUGAGAGACGAUCUAGGAGUCACUUCCUAGUACUAUACUGCAUUCUUUUAUGCAAUCAACUUUUGUGUGAGGUGCGACCCUCUCAUCAAAAUGGUGUUGUUGUCGGGGACCUUCAUAAACCAGUGAACGAGGCAUAUUUUUGCCCUUGUGUUCGUUGUCUCAAUCAAGUAUAUGAAGACUUGAACAACAUCCGUGAUCAUUUGUUCAUCUAUGGAAUAAUGAGAAAUUAUACAGUUUGGACUUGGUAGGGGGAAGUAUUAUGUUUGAAAGCAAGAAACGUAUGGACUGAUAAAAGUUUCACGGAAAUGUUUGAGUUGCUGAAGGAGAUGCUACCAGAAAAUAACACGUUACCUAUCCGUAAUUACGACGCGAAGAAAAUUCUAUGUCCAAUGGGUUUGGAAUACCAAAAGAGACAUGCAUUUCCCAAUGACUGUGUAUUGUAUCAAGAUCAGUAUGCUUCAAUGAAGGUGUGUCCGACGUGUGGUUCGUCACAAUUUAAGAAGAAACUUGAUGGAAAUAACGAUGAACACAAUGAAGGUCCACCGACUAAGGUCGUGCGGUAUUUACCUAUAGUACCUAGGUUGAAACGAUUCUUUUCUAUUAAAGAAGAUGCGAAGAAUCUUAUGUGGCACGUUGAUGGAAAAAAUGUGAUAAUCUUCUUCGACACCCAGCUGAUUCCCCACAAUGGAAGAACAUUGAUGGCACAUUUCCCGAAUCUAGUGCAGAGCCGAGAAACUUAAGACUUGCACUUGCUACCAAUGGUAUGAAUCCUUAUGGCAACUUAAGUAGCAAACAUAGUUCAUGGCCAGUUAUUUUGAUGAUUUACAAUCUAUCUCCUAUGUUGUGCAUGAAGAGAAAAUACAUGAUGUUGUCUAUGAUGAUAUCGGGUCCUAGACAACCUGGAAAUGACAUUGAUGUUUAUCUAAAACCAUUAAUUGACGAUUUAAAAAUGUUGUGGGAAGAGAGCGUCGAGGUCUUCGAUUCAUAUUCAAAAGAAAACUUUCGUUUGCGUGCAAUGUUGUUUUGCACCAUAAAUGAUUUCCCAGCAUAUGGGAACUUGAGUGGUUACAGUGUUAAAGGUCAUUUUGCAUGUCUGAUUUGUGAAGAAAAUACUAGUUAUCUUUAACUGAAGCAUGGGCAGAAAACUGUGUACACAACACACUGAAGAUUCCUUCCUCGAAAUCACCCUUACCGUAGAUCGAAAAAAGCGUUUAAUGGAAGUCCUCAGGAUGAUGUAGUGUGUAGACCACGUAAUGGGAAAGAAGUAUACGACUAGAUGAGGAACAUUGAUGUUUCUUCGGAAAACAUAAAAAGAAGACCGUUGAGAAAAAAAUUUGGAAAAAGCGAUCAAUAUUCUUUAAUCUUCCAUAUUGGUGUAAACUUGAUGUGCGACAUUGCAUAGACGUGAUGCACGUUGAAAAAAAUGUAUGUGAUAGUGUUGUUGGGACUUUACUAAACGUUAAUGGAAAGACAAAAGAUGGAGUGAAAGCACGACAAGACCUGGUUGACAUGGGAAUCCAUUCUGAAUUACAUCCGGUGGAGAGACUUCAAGACGAGAAUGACACUUCAAUACGUCUUUGGCCCUAAACAGAACGACACUCCCUAUACAAAUAUAAAAUAAUUGAGGAGGAGUGGGUGCAAUUUAAAGAAUCUAGAGUUACUCCUGAGUGGUAGGUGAAAAGGAUAGCCGCCCAGCAAAGACAGAAGAUUAAUGAUACACCACACGUACUGUCACGUGGUGGUUAUGCGUUAUUAGAGAAAAAGAUGAGAAAACGUCGCGCUGAGAGGUUAGGUCUUGAGUCACCUGAUCUAGCACCUCCACCAGCCAGACACGAAUUGUGGAAGGCUACACGGACGAAGUCCAAUGGCCAGUUUACAUCCCAGUCUACUCAGGAGAUAUCCUAGAGAAUUGAUGACUUGGUUGACCAACAGAGUCAAGGCACAUUUGUAGCACAAGAUAGGGAGGACCUCCUAGUAGCAUCAGGUAACAAGUGCAAGUCGAAUUAGAGGAAAGCAUGGGUGAACGUUUUAGAAUGCUCGAAGAAAAACUUGCGAUGAUCACCCACAACAACAACAACAACAACAACAAGAGCAACAACAACAGUCACAACAGGAGCACGCCCCUACAGAUGAUGCUACUGCACCUCGUGUGAGCACCAAAGGCUCAUGCUCUACUCCAGAUCGUACUGAUUACAAUAUUUAGUAUGGGUUUUUGGUUGAUGAGAAUCCUUCGUGCGUAAUGGCCGUGGGACGACAGAUUGUAGGAGGCCAGACCAUUCAUGGUUCUCCUUUAUUGCCCACUCACGCACGAGUAAUGAUUAAUGAUCCAAAAGAGACCCCCAGGCUCGAGUGCUAGUGCCUACAUCUGAAAUCCAAUUCGUGGGGAGGCCUUAGGCACAUUUAUAACUUGGCCUAAGGCUAUGAUCAUGUCAUAUUUUGGCCCACCAGCGGUCUACCGUACUGUGAAACAAGCAAUUGCUCAACUUGUGAAUGAGGCUCAUGAGGAAGUAGAAGACCAUAAUGCUAUAUCCAUAUUGACCUCCAGAUUAAAUAAGUUGAGAAAAGGACCGGUAGAGAUACUGUAGGAGUUAAAAAAAUUUGGCCUCGAGUGCCAUGUUCCAUUGUAUAUUAACUUCGAUGAUGCAUAUGAGAUCAUUGGUGGAGAAAAAAUGCUCAACAUUGCAUGCAUACAACUAUGGUGCAUGUAAGUUUUUUAUUUGUUAU
Molecule: long non-coding RNA, 4010 nt
Organism: Vigna angularis (adzuki bean)
Lineage: Eukaryota; Viridiplantae; Streptophyta; Magnoliopsida; Fabales; Fabaceae
Exons: 4
Source: RefSeq, a predicted model, not a curated record